CUGCGGAAGGAUCAUUACCGAGUUUUCGGGCUUCGGCUCGACUCUCCCACCCUUUGUGAACGUACCUCUGUUGCUUUGGCGGCUUCGGCCGCCAAAGGACCUUCAAACUCCAGUCAGUAAACGCAGACGUCUGAUAAACAAGUCAAUAAACUAAAACUUUCAACAACGGAUCUCUUGGUUCUGGCAUCGAUGAAGAACGCAGCGAAAUGCGAUAAGUAAUGUGAAUUGCAGAAUUCAGUGAAUCAUCGAAUCUUUGAACGCACAUUGCGCCCCUUGGUAUUCCGGGGGGCAUGCCUGUUCGAGCGUCAUUACAACCCUCAAGCUCUGCUUGGAAUUGGGCACCGUCCUCACUGCGGACGCGCCUCAAAGACCUCGGCGGUGGCUGUUCAGCCCUCAAGCGUAGUAGAAUACACCUCGCUUUGGAGCGGUUGGCGUCGCCCGCCGGACGAACCUUCUGAACUUUUCUCAAGGUUGACCUCGGAUCAGGUAGGGAUACCCGCUGAACUUAAGCAUAUCAAUAAGCGGAGGAA
This 530-nucleotide ribosomal RNA is filed under the name fungal sp. E14421D. Its description in RNAcentral is "eukaryotic LSU rRNA". The stretch from base 155 to 308 matches the Rfam family "5.8S ribosomal RNA". The record is from RNAcentral. Lineage: Eukaryota; Fungi.